This 276-nucleotide unclassified non-coding RNA is filed under the name fungal sp. RNAcentral's name for it is "partial internal transcribed spacer region". The stretch from base 1 to 46 matches the Rfam family "Eukaryotic small subunit ribosomal RNA", at positions 1786 to 1831 of the family's 1831-position model. Lineage: Eukaryota; Fungi. The record is from RNAcentral.
AAGUCGUAACAAGGUUUCCGUAGGUGAACCUGCGGAAGGAUCAUUACCAAAUGUGACACUCUGUGUUGCUCUUACACUUCCGAGCAGGCCUGGCGCGGUUCCGCGCCAGGUCAGGAUGGUGGUCCGCGGACUACCGUCAGCGCCGUCCCCUACUCUUCGGAGCGGGAGCUCAGUCCCUCGCGGACGAAAGGACGGACCCGGUGCUUUCGCAUCAACCCUGUGCUUGAAAAGGAACAACAACAGCAGUACAACUGCAAACGGUGGAUCACUCGGCUC